CCGACUUGAUUCAAAGGAUCAGAUCACCUGGGCCCGUUUUCUGUUAGAUUUGCCACAGAACGGCUUGAAAUAACGGCCGUCAUGGUAUUAUUCCAAGGGCCGUUAUAAUCUGUUUUAUUAAAAAUGAUUAUUAUUUAACCAUGUAACUAAAUCACUAUUAUUAUAAUAAAAUGAUGAUUAACAACUGAUAUUUUUGUUGUUCCAAUUUGAAUAUUGUACAUUGAAA
Molecule: long non-coding RNA, 226 nt
Filed under: Elaeis guineensis (African oil palm)
Lineage: Eukaryota; Viridiplantae; Streptophyta; Magnoliopsida; Arecales; Arecaceae
Description: long non-coding RNA (EGUI_LNC029167)
Source: RNAcentral